UAUCUUCAAAACACUGUAAUUCGUCCC
This 27-nucleotide small RNA is filed under the name Bombyx mori (domestic silkworm). Its description in RNAcentral is "ovarian small RNA-23810". The record is from RNAcentral. Lineage: Eukaryota; Metazoa; Arthropoda; Insecta; Lepidoptera; Bombycidae.